This 253-nucleotide ribosomal RNA is filed under the name uncultured bacterium. RNAcentral's name for it is "partial 16S ribosomal RNA". It matches the Rfam family "Bacterial small subunit ribosomal RNA", at positions 524 to 776 of the family's 1533-position model. The record is from RNAcentral.
UACAGAGGUCCCAAGCGUUGUUCGGAUUCACUGGGCGUAAAGGGCGCGUAGGCGGGUACUCAAGUCUGUGGUGAAAUCCUCCGGCUCAACCGGAGAACUGCCAUGGAUACUGGGUGUCUCGAGGGUGGUAGGGGUAUGCGGAACUAUCGGUGGAGCGGUGAAAUGCGUUGAUAUCGAUAGGAACUCCGGUGGCGAAGGCGGCAUACUGGACCACUUCUGACGCUGAGGCGCGAAAGCCAGGGGAGCAAACGGG